RNAcentral lists this long non-coding RNA (1291 nucleotides) under Strigops habroptila (Kakapo). RNAcentral's name for it is "lncRNA (ENSSHBG00005018493.1)". Lineage: Eukaryota; Metazoa; Chordata; Aves; Psittaciformes; Psittacidae. The record is from RNAcentral.
GUACAUGAGCACAGUAGUUUAUAGAACAGAUGCUUAUUUUUAUGCCAAGUGACAUUAUGUUCAUACAGAGAAGUGAAUGUAGCCUUGGUCUUACCUUUAUCCUUGUCUGUGCAACCUGCACUGGAGGAAGGCCACAUCUGUAGCUAGCAGAACUGAGGCUUAACUAAGGUAAUUCCUCUUCAAGUCUUCCAGGAGGAGGCUGCAGCUGUAAAACCUGUCCCUCCGUGUGUUGCUUAUCUUAGGAACUGGACAAGAGGCAAUUCCAAAGCAUGCAGAGCGGAACAAAGUAAUUAAACAGGGAAAUACUGACUAUCUUUGAGAACUGGAAUUAGAAAAGAGAUUUGAAGUUGACCUGCUACAGGUAAUACACAGGUAGUAAGAAUUAGAAAGACUAAAUGGGAGCUAUCUAGAGAACAUUAUUUCUUCAGGUUGUUCAUAUUUUAACAGACCAAAGUAACUUUUUGUAUCAUUCUCUGUGAGCUGUGUUAAUACCUUGGCUUGCACUCAACUAUUUAAUACAUCGAGUCUGAAAUAAUGAAGUUGCCAUUUGUGUGCAAAGGCUGAGUUAAGGUUGGUACAGAUUAACUCACGCUCCAUAGCAGUGCUCUGCUGAAGCUCCAAGGAGCUCUCCUUGGAUCUGCUGCCUGGCCCAAUCAGUUGUCUUUUCUCAACUGAAAUGCAAUCAGAACCAUGCUAAAGCAGUACAAACCAAUCACUACUGCCAGGUGACCAGGACAUAAUAGUCUUCCCCCUGCACAAGAAACAAGGGCACCCAGUGAAACUACCCAGCAGUGAUGCAUUUAGAACAGGUAACUGUUGUGUAAAGCAGUAAUUCCUGUUACACAACACAAUGUCAGAGCGAGCUGCAGAGGUCAAAAGCACCACUUGAUUCAAAGAAAGAUGAAGCAAGUUCACAAAUAGGCCCUCUGGUAAUUACACAGAAUAACCCUGCUCAGCCUCCAGCUCAAGGAAUGGAACUGGAGGCUGGCUAAAGGCUGACUGCAAAUCCCUCCAGCUGCCUCGCCCCCAUGGAAAAUGAAGUUGCCAUGAGAUUGGUUUGGAUUUAAAAGAAGUGUUAGAGGAGUCACUGUCACACUGAGGCACCUACAUCAGCCACAAAACCCCUCAGGCAUCUCGUUUCCCCCAGAGCAGACAGAGGAAAUUUAAGCAGCAGGCAGUGGUUCUAGCAAGAUCUACUCACAGAGCUAAAGGCUCCAUUAACAGCACCCUGUUUCACACAGUGCACCAGUCUGCUCCUCCAGGAUGGGCCCAGCAUGACAUCUUCUAUCCC